This 427-nucleotide ribosomal RNA is filed under the name uncultured bacterium. RNAcentral describes it as "bacterial SSU rRNA". It matches the Rfam family "Bacterial small subunit ribosomal RNA", at positions 355 to 774 of the family's 1533-position model. The record is from RNAcentral.
UGGGGAAUUUUGGACAAUGGGCGAAAGCCUGAUCCAGCAAUGCCGCGUGUGUGAAGAAGGCCUUCGGGUUGUAAAGCACUUUUGUCCGGAAAGAAAUCCUCUGGGUUAAUACCUCGGGGGGAUGACGGUACCGGAAGAAUAAGCACCGGCUAACUACGUGCCAGCAGCCGCGGUAAUACGUAGGGUGCAAGCGUUGAUCGGAAUUACUGGGCGUAAAGCGUGCGCAGGCGGUUUUGUAAGACGGAUGUGAAAUCCCCGGGCUUAACCUGGGAACUGCAUUCGUGACUGCAAGGCUAGAGUAUGGCAGAGGGGGGUAGAAUUCCACGUGUAGCAGUGAAAUGCGUAGAGAUGUGGAGGAAUACCGAUGGCGAAGGCAGCCCCCUGGGCCAAUACUGACGCUCAUGCACGAAAGCGUGGGGAGCAAACA